UAAUCUCACCAUCUGACUCUUUGUCAGCAUGUUGUGGAUUUGGAUGCUGCCGUGUCUCGACGGCUCGUCUGAAAUGCCUGAGUACAUCCUGGGUUGCGAUGUGUUCGGUGUGAUAAGUUUUCACCGUCAUUGACCCCAGUGGUCACACUUUGCUUGACCGAGGCUCUGUGCUUCCAACCGUCUGGAUUCAGACAACUUUUGACA
Molecule: unclassified non-coding RNA, 204 nt
Filed under: uncultured Sebacinales
Lineage: Eukaryota; Fungi; Basidiomycota; Agaricomycetes; Sebacinales
Description: sequence contains ITS2
Source: RNAcentral